UCCCUAGUGGUCCAGUGGCUAAGGUGCUGCACUUCCAAUGCAGGGAACCAGGUUCGAUCCCUGGUCAGGGGU
RNAcentral lists this transfer RNA (72 nucleotides) under Ovis aries (sheep). It matches the Rfam family "tRNA". From Rfam's summary of the family: Transfer RNA (tRNA) molecules are approximately 80 nucleotides in length. Their secondary structure includes four short double-helical elements and three loops (D, anti-codon, and T loops). The record is from Rfam by way of RNAcentral. Lineage: Eukaryota; Metazoa; Chordata; Mammalia; Artiodactyla; Bovidae.